ACCCUAGGUUACCUAGCUGGGCUACACAUGCAGUCGAGGGGCAGCAUAUAGAUUGCUUGCAAUUUAUGAUGGCGACCGGCGCACGGGUGAGUAACGCGUAUCCAACCUACCCAUUACUAGGGAAUAACCCAGCGAAAGUUGGCCUAAUGCCCUAUGUAGUCGUUUGAUCGCCUGAGAUUUCGACGAAAGAUUUAUCGGUAUUGGAUGGGGAUGCGUCUGAUUAGCUUGUUGGCGGGGUAAAGGCCCACCAAGGCAACGAUCAGUAGGGGUUCUGAGAGGAAGGUCCCCCACAUUGGAACUGAGACACGGUCCAAACUCCUACGGGAGGCAGCAGUGAGGAAUAUUGGUCAAUGGGCGAGAGCCUGAACCAGCCAAGUAGCGUGCAGGAUGACGGCCCUAUGGGUUGUAAACUGCUUUUAUAUGGGAAUAAAGUGAGGGACGUGUCCCUUAUUGCAUGUACCAUACGAAUAAGGACCGGCUAAUUCCGUGCCAGCACC
RNAcentral lists this ribosomal RNA (497 nucleotides) under Prevotella sp. 1-10. RNAcentral's name for it is "bacterial SSU rRNA". It matches the Rfam family "Bacterial small subunit ribosomal RNA", at positions 36 to 515 of the family's 1533-position model. The record is from RNAcentral. Lineage: Bacteria; Pseudomonadati; Bacteroidota; Bacteroidia; Bacteroidales; Prevotellaceae.